UCUGUUUGUAUUGGCUUAUUAUCAUUUAAGAAGACUUGAGUUUGUAGCAUUUAAAAAAGGAAUUAUAUUUUAUGUAACAUGUACUUUUAUUUUGGGUUCAGCAGGGCGGGAGAUGGGCAGGAAGGUGGAAGUGCUGAUAGCUGAAGAGAUCUACAAGAGGAUGAAGAAGGUCCAGAUCGUGCCUUAUUUCACCUUCCUAGUGAUAACUGCUAAUAUAUUUCCAUCGAGCCUCUUUUAAUGACUGCAGAUACCUGCACUGUCCACCCGCUACCUCCUGGAUCAUGCUGGCCUGUUGAUACAAAGGAAGCUCUCAUUCUGUGGCUGGGAGACCUACCCACCGGCUGGGUGAGUGAUGACCCACCUGCCCGACUGGAUGACAGUGGGAUGUCAGCAGAUGGGUGCAAGUGAACUCUUCUUCUGCCUUUUUGAAGUGCUUGAGGUGGAGGGAAAGACACCUUGCAAAGCUCUCAGUCACCUUUAGGAGAGGAGAAGUUACCGAUGUACUUCAAGCUUUUUACAAACUUGUAUCAGGGUGACGUGUAGGUGGAUAGUUGAGUGGCUCUCCCAAGGGGAGAACAGAGGCCCCGGGGUAUAGACCUGGAUCCAGCUCCGGUGCAGGCACUGUGACCUCAGAUCAGCACUUCUUUAUGCCCCAGUUUUCUGUCUGCAAAUCUGUAUAAUAAAAUGCCCAAUUCAUGGGGUUACUGGAAGAUA
RNAcentral lists this long non-coding RNA (714 nucleotides) under Piliocolobus tephrosceles (Ugandan red Colobus). Its description in RNAcentral is "lncRNA (ENSPTEG00000036884.1)". The record is from RNAcentral. Lineage: Eukaryota; Metazoa; Chordata; Mammalia; Primates; Cercopithecidae.